CGCGGCCUAUCAGCUUGUUGGUGGGGUAACGGCCUACCAAGGCAUCGACGGGUAGCUGGUCUGAGAGGACGAUCGGUCACACUGGGACUGAGACACUGCCCAGACUCCUACGGGAGGCUGCAGUCGAGAAUCUUCCGCAAUGGGCGAAAGCCUGACGGAGCGACACCGCGUGCAGGAUGAAGGCCUUCGGGUUGUAAACUGCUGUCACGCCAUAGGAAAGCCCUGUCGUUAAUAGCUGCAGGGUUGACCAAAGCGAAAGGAAGCACCGGCUAACUCCGUGCCAGCAGCCGCGGUAAGACGGAGGGUGCGAACGUUGUUCGGAAUCACUGGGCAUAAAGCGCACGUAGGCGGCCAGGUCAGUCCGGUGUGAAAGCCCCCAGCUCAACCGGGGAACUGCAUCGGAUACUGCCUGGCUCGAGGACGGUUGGGGUGAGUGGAACUCCUGGUGGAGCGGUGAAAUGCGUAGAGAUCAGGAGGAACACCAGUGGCGAAAGCGGCUCACUGGACCGUCUCUGACGCUGAGGUGCGAAAGCUAGGGUAGCGAACGGGAUUAGAUACCCCGGUAGUCCUAGCCGUAAACGAUGGGCACUAGGUAGGGGGGAUACCUAUGGUCUUCCCUGCCGGAGCAAAUGUGUUAAGUGCCCCGCCUGGGGAGUACGG
This 660-nucleotide ribosomal RNA is filed under the name uncultured bacterium. RNAcentral describes it as "bacterial SSU rRNA". It matches the Rfam family "Bacterial small subunit ribosomal RNA", at positions 232 to 885 of the family's 1533-position model. The record is from RNAcentral.